UUUAGCUAAAACCAAAUAUUCUUUUAGAGAGAGAGAGUGCCCUGGAGUGGGAAAUUGUCCCUCAUAAAUUUUUCUUCAAUUCUUGCUCAAAUCUUGAAUGAUUAACAAGAAAAAACACACUAUAUCUUCAUCCUUAAGGUAAGAUUCUACACCCUAACCCUUAAUUUCGAAUCUUAGCUGAAGAUGUGUAUUUAUCAAGAAAGUUUGUGGGUAUUGGAAUUGUUAUCUUGCUUGCAUAUGUUUUCAAAGGGUGUAGGAACAUUGUUGAGCUAAAAAUGGUAAAGUAUGAGUUUUGGGUUGAUGAAAUCCUUUAUAAAAGGACCAUAAAGAUUUAACGCACACAUAGUGUUUGAUGAAAUGCUAAAUGAGCUAGAAUUAUGAUCAUCCUUCUAAUAUGGCUAAAAUUGUUAUAUUAUCAAAAUAGAUUGAGGUUGCUAAGAAUUUCGGAAUAUUUUAGAGUUUAAGUAAACUCAAUUGAGGUAUGUAUGGCUAACUUUACCUCUUGUAUAAUCUUCUUGUUGUGACGAGCAUACGGUGUGUGUACCUUGUAUAAAAGUAUGUGUAUUUAUUGUCAUAGUUGAUUUAUACAACAUCGUAUUAUAUGUGAUUGUGAAAAGUGAUUUGAUGUUCCUACUGUAUUAUGUGCAAAGUUUGUUAAUGCUUGAGGAUGUCGUCAUAGAAGUAUGCAUUAACGAAUGAAAGAAUAUUAAUGUCCAAAUGUGGGAAUGUGUAUAAUGGCUAAAAACCCUAUGUGGUAAGUAAUGAAAGAGGGUAUUGUGAAAUGACAUAAAUGAGUUGAACAAUUACGACAACACCUUGUACAUGAAUUACUGCUUGGUGACAGUUAUGGUGCCUUGGGCCCAAAUGUAUGAAUGGUUGAUAUGAAAUUGUAUUUCCUUGAAAUGAUGAUUCUUGUGAUGUAUUGUCUGUGGUUAUGAUUACAAAAUGUGAUUGUCCGGUGGGAUCAGAUUGCGUGCCGCAAUACGAAGUUAUAAGGUGUGGAUUGUGGUGAUAAGGGUGGCUGAGGUAAUAAGGGUGGCCAAGAUAAUAAGGGUGACAAAGUGAUCGAAAUCACUAUUGAAAUGAAAAUAUGUGAAAGAUGUGAAAACAUUGAUGUGAUGAAGUAAUGUUAAAAGGGGGAAAGGAGAGAUUAUGAAACUUGUUUGGCUUUGGUUGUUUCUUUCAUGUGCAUUUAAUUGUUGAUUCUAUUACUGUUUAUUACCUAUGUAUUGGUGGAUUUUACUUGGGGUAACAUUUGUUCAUAUAUACCAGUAUAAUUCAAAUGUACCGACGCCCUUUUUUCCGGGGGCGCUACAUUCGUGUUGUGAUUGUAGGUGGUUCUACAACAUGUACUCCAGUCCACCGAUAGUAGCACCACCUCCACUUUUCUUCAGCUGUAUUGGUGAGCCUCUUUCCUCUCAGGGCCAUGCGUGGCUUAUGGUGCUUUUCUUCUCGGAGUCUAAUUUUGGUAUUUGUGUAAGGUAUAGCCAGAGCCUUGUUACCGGCAUUUCCAUAUUACAUUACUCUUCAGUUAUGUUUAGACGCUCCGUAGACAGGUUGUGGGUAGUGUUGUAUAUUGGAAAUAAAGUAAAGAUAAUCAUGUUUGGCAAGUAUUCAUAACAACUUGUAAUAUUUUGAUAAUUAUAAAUGAAGUUGCUAAUGGAAGUGAAAUAGA
This 1675-nucleotide long non-coding RNA is filed under the name Nicotiana benthamiana. RNAcentral describes it as "long non-coding RNA (NBEN_LNC015156)". The record is from RNAcentral. Lineage: Eukaryota; Viridiplantae; Streptophyta; Magnoliopsida; Solanales; Solanaceae.